UACGUAGGGGGCAAGCGUUGUCCGGAUUUAUCGGGCGUAAAGAGCGUGUAGGCGGCCAUGUAGGUCCGUUGUGAAAACUCGAGGCUCAACCUCGAGACGCCGAUGGAAACCAUAUGGCUAGAGUCCGGAAGAGGAGAGUGGAAUUCCUGGUGUAGCGGUGAAAUGCGCAGAUAUCAGGAAGAACACCCGUGGCUAAGGCGGCUCUCUAGUACGGUACUGACGCUGAGACGCGAAAGCGUGGGGAGCGAACAGG
RNAcentral lists this ribosomal RNA (253 nucleotides) under uncultured bacterium. Its description in RNAcentral is "partial 16S ribosomal RNA". It matches the Rfam family "Bacterial small subunit ribosomal RNA", at positions 524 to 776 of the family's 1533-position model. The record is from RNAcentral.